CAUUAUCCAUCCAACCAAACUGAGCUAUGAAGAUAUGAUAUUCGAGAUAUCAAGACACGACAGCUUGGAUAUAUGACAGAAAAAAACAGUUCAGAGGUGCUCCAAAAUUAUAGGCUAGUCAUGGAACCAGAAAGCUAAAGCUUCGGAUCAACCCUUCACUUCUUCGCCUUCUUUGGUGCCCUGUCAUCCCAAAAGUGCAGGAAGACACAUCAACAAAACAUGAUAAUUACAAACUCAAGGAAACUAUUAAUGUGCAAGGAGUUCAAAGGCCACUUGUACAAGAAAUACAGGAAAACACAUCAAGAAAGCAUGACAAUUACAUACUCCAAGGGAACUAGGAAUGCGAUAGGAGUACUAAGGCCACUUACACUGCAGACGGAGCUGGAGCAGCAGCUGAUGGUGCUGCAGGUUCCCUCGGGCCCUAAACAAAGAUGAAACAUACAUUUCAACAUGGAAUCUAAACAAAAGAAAAGACCAAAAAAAAAGAUCAAAAUGUCUUGGCCUUAAAGGGAAAAAACAUGAACCUACCAAACCAGCUCCGAACAAAUAACGACUCCAACAAUUACUGUAACAGCUAAUAAAGCUAAUGCGUGGCUCUACAAGUAGCAAGAUUAACAUUUUUGUAACAUGUUCAAGUGGAUCAAGAACACACAUUUUAAGACAAACUAAUAAAACUAAUGCAUGGCUCUACAAUAUGUUUUAAGAACAUACUUUCAUGUUUCAGUGGAUCAAAAAAUAACUAUUUAAUGGCAGUUCAAAUUUGCUAGUCCACAAGGCCCGGUUCAGAAUCCUAGUAUCACAUGGGCAUUAAAAGGCAUUCCAGCGUCAUAUAAUCAGCAGGUUGCCACACAAAUUCAGAAAUAAAUGCAGGUCUGAGUUAACAAGACAUUAUCUUACCUGGGCCAACCUCUCCUCCCUCCUAGCAAGCUUUCUCUCUCUGCUCGCCUUGCUCUUGGCACGUCUGGCCUCGAACUGAUCAGAGAGGGUCUUCUCCCUCGCCUUCUCAGCUUUUGACUUGUGGAUGCUCUCCAUCAGCACCCUCUUGUUCUUGAAGCUAUUUCCCUUGACCUUAACAUACAUCUCAUGAUACAUAUGUUUAUCAAUCUUCUUUGCCUCCCUGUACUUGCGGAGCAGGCGCCUCAGAACCCGCAUCCGACGCAUCCACAAUAUCUUGGUGGGGAGCCUAGCCUCCCUGGUACCCCUGCGCUUACCUGUAUAGUUUUUGGAUUAACAUAUAAUUUUAGGAUUUCAAAAAUGAAGAAGCAUCAGAUACAUAUGUACCAGACACAUAAAAUGGGAAAACCAGUGUAGCAGCAGUAUACCAUAUCCAGAGUGGCGUCCCUUCUGCUUGGCCUCAUGCGCCCUCCUUGCACGGGACCUGGAGUGGAUCUUCUGAGGCUUCCUGAUGAUGAAACCAUCCUUAACCAACU
RNAcentral lists this long non-coding RNA (1430 nucleotides) under Setaria viridis. Its description in RNAcentral is "long non-coding RNA (SVIR_LNC002060)". The record is from RNAcentral. Lineage: Eukaryota; Viridiplantae; Streptophyta; Magnoliopsida; Poales; Poaceae.